This 184-nucleotide unclassified non-coding RNA is filed under the name uncultured bacterium. RNAcentral's name for it is "contains 16S-23S intergenic spacer region". It matches the Rfam family "Bacterial small subunit ribosomal RNA", at positions 441 to 634 of the family's 1533-position model. The record is from RNAcentral.
GAGCCAGCAGCCGCGGUAAUACGGGAGCGAUAUGACGGUACUUGAGGAAUAGCCACGCUAAUUCGAGCCGCAGCGCGGUAAUACGGGAGUGCAGCGUAUCCGAAUAUGGCGUAAAGCGUCGCAGGCGGCUUUUCAAGUCUGCUGUUAAAGCGUGGAGCUUAACUCCAUCAUGGCAGUGGAAACU